This 371-nucleotide ribosomal RNA is filed under the name uncultured organism. RNAcentral describes it as "bacterial SSU rRNA". It matches the Rfam family "Bacterial small subunit ribosomal RNA", at positions 526 to 896 of the family's 1533-position model. The record is from RNAcentral.
CGUAGGGGGCAAGCGUUGUCCGGAAUUAUUGUGCGUAAAGCGCGCGCAGGCGGCUAUUUAAGUCUGGUGUUUAAACCUUGGGCUCAACCUGAGGUCGCACUGGAAACUGGGUGGCUUGAGUACAGAAGAGGAAAGUGGAAUUCCACGUGUAGCGGUGAAAUGCGUAGAUAUGUGGAGGAACUCCAGUGGCGAAGGCGACUUUCUGGGCUGUAACUGACGCUGAGGCGCGAAAGCGUGGGGAGCAAACAGGAUUAGAUACCCUGGUAGUCCACGCCGUAAACGAUGAGUGCUAGGUGUUAGGGGUUUCGAUACCCUUGGUGCCGAAGUUAACACAGUAAGCACUCCGCCUGGGGAGUACGGUCGCAAGACUG